Long non-coding RNA from Anolis carolinensis (green anole), 1746 nucleotides. The record is from Ensembl. Lineage: Eukaryota; Metazoa; Chordata; Lepidosauria; Squamata; Anolidae.
GAACCUAUCAUGGGGCUUCAUAGGACUGACAGUGUGUGAUGCGCCCAAGGUCAUCCAGUGGAUUUCUAUGACUGAAAAGGGAGUGUUCCGUCUCCCAGAGCUACCAAAGCUUACUGCAUUGGCACUGAAGCUUCCCCAAACAUGGUUAUUCAUGCCUGGAGAAGAGGAAAGGGGAUUGCGGGAGCAUCUUGCCAUAGCCAAACACGAAAUGAUUAGAUCAGCUGUGCCAAGACCUCUGGAAGAAUGCAGAAGAUCUCACCAGGAGGAAGAGGAAGAAGAGGAGGAGGACACCAUGUCAGGACCCAUGUUUCCCGGGCCUUCACAUUGGCGCCGGGAAUCAGGCCCCUGACAUUCCCGCGCAUUCCUGAACUGAUAAGCAGGCCGGGGCCGGCCUUGAGACAUCAACGGACAAAGGGGGUUUUUGGCGGGUACUGUGCGCAGGUUUUUCACUGAGCGGGAAUUGCAUGUUUGAAUGUGGGAGGAGGGUAUAAAAAGGGACCCGAGGGCAUCACCCAGCACUCUUGGCUUCUUAUGCGUCAGUUAUCCUUCAGUAAACGUUCACCUUGUUUACGCACUGGUCUCGCGUCUUCAUUCUCGAGCGGCUGGAGUGAGCUGACACUUAUACACACAUGAGAUAACAACACUUUGGUAGGUUAAAAGGCAAGUUAUUUCAUAUGCAAUAAUGGAUUCAGUGUUAUUAAGAAACAAAUCGCAACAAAGCUUAAUUUAGAUGUUUUCUUCUUGUGGCAUGGUUCUAACACAUAGGAAAAAGGAAUAUUUUUUUAAAAAAAAUAGUUUAAAUGCCCACAAAUUAUGUUCCUGAACUAAUUAAAAUAUUUGUUGUCUGAUAGUUAUUCUGAGCAAAAUUCACACAGGUUUGUGAGAGUAAAUAUGCAUGCUCUUUUCUGUGUUAAAAGAAUUGCCAACUUUACACAGAAUAAAUCUCCAACUACAGACUUUGUGCAGAAAACAGAAUAACACUUUUGUGCAUAAAAUCCUAUUUUUUCUCAAAAAUUCUGUUUUAGAGCGAGUUUUAUGCUACAUAUGUCCCAAACUGUAUCUAGACAAUAAAAACUGCAAUUUUGAAAGAGUUUCUCGCUGUGAGAAGAAAACUGCUAAUAGUAUUCAUUUCUUGCUUCAAGAACAAAGUUAGUGAAGACUCAUAGUCCUACCCCAACGUAGGCAUAUCUAUCAAUCCAGUUAAGAAAUGACAUAUGUGAUGUGGAAUGGAAGCUGUUGAAUAUUCGGGUCAAAUCGAUUGCAAAAUAAAAAAGAAUAAUAAUAAAGAACAUACACAUCUUUUACAAAUUCACUCUAUUUGGAAGGGACAGCAUUCUUUUACCAAAAAAGUGAUCCUAUAGCUGUGAUGGCUUGCAGAACUGCUCUGGCAAACUAGAGUCACUCACAAGGAUGUCUUGGAAUUAACUGUUAAUGCCUAGUUACUUACAUUACAGGAAAAAAGUUGUGAAUAAAGAACAUGUGUGAAAACUCUGAUUUUACUACUACCUGGAACCCCAUCCCCUUCAGUUCAUGAAAGUUCAUUUUGCCAGCUAAGUCAGUUUGAACUAAUUCUCAUUAUUAGCCAAUUGUCAGGAUACACCUAGAUUAUCAGCACUUUUCCAUGCUGAAACCCAGAUGUUUACAUUUGUUUCACUGGCCACAGUUAUGACAUGGAGAUGGUAUGGAGUUCCAUCAAACACCAGGAUGAUCCAUGACAUGCUUCCCCUACUAAAAGAAAAAGACAGA